ACAUCCAGAGAACUUGGCAGAGAUGCCUUGGUGCCUUCGGGACCUCUGAGACAGGUGCUGCAUGGCUGUCGUCAGCUCGUGUUGUGAAAUGUUGGGUUAAGUCCCGNAACGAGCGCAACCCCUAUCCUUUGUUGCCAGCGAUCCGGUCGGGAACUCAAAGGAGACUGCCGGUGAUAAACCGGAGGAAGGUGGGGAUGACGUCAAGUCAUCAUGGCCCUUACGAGUAGGGCUACACACGUGCUACAAUGGCGCAUACAAAGAGAAGCGACCUCGCGAGAGCAAGCGGACCUCAUAAAGUGCGUCGUAGUCCGGAUCGGAGUCUGCAACUCGACUCCGUGAAGUCGGAAUCGCUAGUAAUCGUAGAUCAGAAUGCUACGGUGAAUACGUUCCCGGGCCUUGUACACACCGCCCGUCACACCAUGGGAGUGGGUUGCAAAAGAAGUAGAUAGCUUAACCUUCGGGAGGGCGUUUACCACUUUGUGAUUCAUGACUGGGGUGAAGUCGUAACAAGGUAAGCGUAGCGAG
Molecule: ribosomal RNA, 525 nt
Filed under: uncultured bacterium
Lineage: Bacteria
Description: bacterial SSU rRNA
Rfam family: Bacterial small subunit ribosomal RNA
Source: RNAcentral